RNAcentral lists this ribosomal RNA (497 nucleotides) under uncultured bacterium. RNAcentral describes it as "partial 16S ribosomal RNA". It matches the Rfam family "Bacterial small subunit ribosomal RNA", at positions 28 to 507 of the family's 1533-position model. The record is from RNAcentral.
GAUGAACGCUGGCGGCGUGCCUAAUACAUGCAAGUCGAGCGAACAGACGAGGAGCUUGCUCCUCUGACGUUAGCGGCGGACGGGUGAGUAACACGUGGAUAACCUACCUAUAAGACUGGGAUAACUUCGUGAAACCGGAGCUAAUACCGGAGAAUAUAUUGAACCGCAUGGUUCAAUAGUGAAUGACGGUUUUGCUGUCACUUAUAGAUGGAUCCGCGCCGCAUUAGCUAGUUGGUAAGGUAACGGCUUACCAAGGCAACGAUGCGUAGCCGACCUGAGAGGAUGAUCGGCCACACUGGAACUGAGACACGGUCCAGACUCCUACGGGAGGCAGCAGUAGGGAAUCUUCCGCAAUGGGCGAAAGCCUGACGGAGCAACGCCGCGUGAGUGAUGAAGGUCUUCGGAUCGUAAAACUCUGUUAUUAGGGAAGAACAAAUGUGUAAGUAACUAUGCACGUCUUGACGGUACCUAAUCAGAAAGCCACGGCUAACUACGUG